AUACGGAGGAUCCGAGCGUUAUCCGGAUUUAUUGGGUUUAAAGGGUGCGCAGGCGGGAGAUUCAGUCGGCGGUGAAAUUUUGCCGCUUCACUGUAAAAGGGCCCUUCAAAAUUGUUUCCCUGAGUGUAGAUGGAGGAGGGGGAAUUUGUGGGGUGGGGGUGAAAUGCAUAGAGAUCACGAGGAACUACGAUUGCGCAGGCAGCUUAAUAAACUGCUACUGACGCUCAGGCACGAAGGCGUGGGGAUCAAACAGGAUUAGAUACCCUGGUAGUCCACGCAGUAAACGAUGAUUACUAGCUGUUUGCGAUACAAUGUAAGCGGCUGAGCGAAAGCGUUAAGUGUCCCACCUGGGGAGUACGUUCGCAAGAAUGAAACUCAAAUGAAUGGGCGGGG
Molecule: ribosomal RNA, 393 nt
Filed under: uncultured bacterium
Lineage: Bacteria
Description: partial 16S ribosomal RNA
Rfam family: Bacterial small subunit ribosomal RNA
Source: RNAcentral